This 497-nucleotide ribosomal RNA is filed under the name uncultured bacterium. RNAcentral describes it as "partial 16S ribosomal RNA". It matches the Rfam family "Bacterial small subunit ribosomal RNA", at positions 28 to 507 of the family's 1533-position model. The record is from RNAcentral.
GAUGAACGCUGGCGGCGUGCCUAAUACAUGCAAGUCGAGCGAACAGACGAGGAGCUUGCUCCUCUGACGUUAGCGGCGGACGGGUGAGUAACACGUGGAUAACCUACCUAUAAGACUGGGAUAACUUCGGGAAACCGGAGCUAAUACCGGAUAAUAUAUUGAAUUGCAUGGUUCAUUAGUGAAAGACGGUUUUGCUGUCACUUAUAGAUGGACCCGCGCCGCAUUAGCUAGUUGGUAAGGUAACGGCUUACCAAGGCAACGAUGCGUAGCCGACCUGAGAGGGUGAUCGGCCACACUGGAACUUAGACACGGUCCAGACUCCUACGGGAGGCAGCAGUAGGGAAUCUUCCGCAAUGGGCGAAAGCUUGACGGAGCAACGCCGCGUGAGUGAUGAAGGUCUGCGGAUCGUAAAACUCUGUUAUUAGGGAAGAACGAAUGUGUAAGUAACUAUGCACGUCUUGACGGUAGCUAAUCAGAAAGCCACGGCUAACUACGUG